GUAAGCUACUAAGAGCGAAUGGUGGAUGCCUUGACUGGUAAAGGCGAUGAAGGACGUACUAGACUGCGAUAAGCUACGGGGAGCUGUCAAGAAGCUUUGAUCCGUAGAUUUCCGAAUGGGGCAACCCAAUGUAUAGAGAUAUACAUUACCUAUAUAGGAGCGAACGAGGGGAAUUGAAACAUCUUAGUACCCUCAGGAAAAGAAAUCAAUAGAGAUUGCGUCAGUAGCGGCGAGCGAAAGCGUAAGAGGGCAAACCCAGUGCUUGCACUGGGGGUUGUAGGACUGCAAUGUGCAAGAGGUGAGUUUAGCAGAACAUUCUGGAAAGUAUAGCCAUAGAGGGUGAUAGUCCCGUAUGCGAAAAACAAACCUUAGCUAGCAGUAUCCUGAGUAGGGCGGGACACGAGAAAUCCUGUCUGAAGCUGGGUCGACCACGAUCCAACCCUAAAUACUAAUACCAGAUCGAUAGUGCACAAGUACCGUGAGGGAAAGGUGAAAAGAACUGAGGUGAUCAGAGUGAAAUAGAACCUGAAACCAUUUGCUUACAAUCAUUCAGAGCACUAUGUAGCAAUACAGUGUGAUGGACUGCCUUUUGCAUAAUGAGCCUGCGAGUUGUGGUGUCUGGCAAGGUUAAGCAAACGCGAAGCCGUAGCGAAAGCGAGUCUGAAUAGGGCGCUUAGUCAGAUGCUGCAGACCCGAAACGAAGUGAUCUAUCCAUGAGCAAGUUGAAGCUAGUGUAAGAACUAGUGGAGGACUGAACCCAUAGGCGUUGAAAAGCCCCGGGAUGACUUGUGGAUAGGGGUGAAAGGCCAAUCAAACUUCGUGAUAGCUGGUUCUCUCCGAAAUAUAUUUAGGUAUAGCGUUGUGUCGUAAUAUAAGGGGGUAGAGCACUGAAUGGGCUAGGGCAUACACCAAUGUACCAAACCCUAUCAAACUCCGAAUACCUUAUAUGUAAUCACAGCAGUCAGGCGGCGAGUGAUAAAAUCCGUCGUCAAGAGGGAAACAACCCAGACUACCAGCUAAGGUCCCUAAAUCUUACUUAAGUGGAAAACGAUGUGAAGUUACUUAAACAACCAGGAGGUUGGCUUAGAAGCAGCCAUCCUUUAAAGAAAGCGUAAUAGCUCACUGGUCUAGUGAUUUUGCGCGGAAAAUAUAACGGGGCUAAAGUAAGUACCGAAGCUGUAGACUUGAUUUUAUCAAGUGGUAGGAGAGCGUUCUAUUUGCGCCGAAGGUAUACCGGUAAGGAGUGCUGGAGCGAAUAGAAGUGAGCAUGCAGGCAUGAGUAGCGAUAAUUAAUGUGAGAAUCAUUAACGCCGUAAACCCAAGGUUUCCUACGCGAUGCUCGUCAUCGUAGGGUUAGUCGGGUCCUAAGUCGAGUCCGAAAGGGGUAGACGAUGGCAAAUUGGUUAAUAUUCCAAUACCAACAUUAGUGUGCGAUGGAAGGACGCUUAGGGCUAAGGGGGCUAGCGGAUGGAAGUGCUAGUCUAAGGUCGUAGGAGGUUAUACAGGCAAAUCCGUAUAACAUACUCCGAGAACUGAAAGGCUUUUUGAAGUCUUCGGAUGGAUAGAAGAACCCCUGAUGCCGUCGAGCCAAGAAAAGUUUCUAAGUUUAGCUAAUGUUGCCCGUACCGUAAACCGACACAGGUGGGUGGGAUGAGUAUUCUAAGGCGCGUGGAAGAACUCUCUUUAAGGAACUCUGCAAAAUAGCACCGUAUCUUCGGUAUAAGGUGUGGUUCGCUUCGUAUUAGGAUUUACUCCGAAAGCGAAGAAACUUACAACAAAGAGUCCCUCCCGACUGUUUACCAAAAACACAGCACUCUGCUAACUCGUAAGAGGAUGUAUAGGGUGUGACGCCUGCCCGGUGCUCGAAGGUUAAUUGAUGGGGUUAGCAUUAGCGAAGCUCUUGAUCGAAGCCCGAGUAAACGGCGGCCGUAACUAUAACGGUCCUAAGGUAGCGAAAUUCCUUGUCGGUUAAAUACCGACCUGCAUGAAUGGCGUAACGAGAUGGGAGCUGUCUCAAAGAGGGAUCCAGUGAAAUUGUAGUGGAGGUGAAAAUUCCUCCUACCCGCGGCAAGACGGAGAGACCCCGUGGACCUUUACUACAGCUUGACACUGCUAUUUGGAUAAGAAUGUGCAGGAUAGGUGGGAGGCUUUGAGUAUAUGACGCCAGUUGUAUAUGAGCCAUUGUUGAGAUACCACUCUUUCUUAUUUGGGUAGCUAACCAGCUUGAGUUAUCCUCAAGUGGGACAAUGUCUGGUGGGUAGUUUGACUGGGGCGGUCGCCUCCCAAAUAAUAACGGAGGCUUACAAAGGUUGGCUCAGAACGGUUGGAAAUCGUUCGUAGAGUAUAAAGGUAUAAGCCAGCUUAACUGCAAGACAUACAAGUCAAGCAGAGACGAAAGUCGGUCUUAGUGAUCCGGUGGUUCUGUGUGGAAGGGCCAUCGCUCAAAGGAUAAAAGGUACCCCGGGGAUAACAGGCUGAUCUCCCCCAAGAGCUCACAUCGACGGGGAGGUUUGGCACCUCGAUGUCGGCUCAUCGCAUCCUGGGGCUGGAGCAGGUCCCAAGGGUAUGGCUGUUCGCCAUUUAAAGCGGUACGCGAGCUGGGUUCAGAACGUCGUGAGACAGUUCGGUCCCUAUCUGCCGUGGGCGUAAGAAGAUUGAAGAGAUUUGACCCUAGUACGAGAGGACCGGGUUGAACAAACCACUGGUGUAGCUGUUGUUCUGCCAAGAGCAUCGCAGCGUAGCUAAGUUUGGAAAGGAUAAACGCUGAAAGCAUCUAAGCGUGAAGCCAACUCUAAGAUGAAUCUUCUCUAAGCUCUCUAGAAGACUACUAGUUUGAUAGGCUGGGUGUGUAAUGGAUGAAAGUCCUUUAGCUGACCAGUACUAAUAGAGCGUUUGGCUUAUCUUUA
RNAcentral lists this ribosomal RNA (2906 nucleotides) under Campylobacter coli. RNAcentral describes it as "bacterial LSU rRNA". It matches the Rfam family "Bacterial large subunit ribosomal RNA". The record is from RNAcentral. Lineage: Bacteria; Pseudomonadati; Campylobacterota; Epsilonproteobacteria; Campylobacterales; Campylobacteraceae.